GAACGCGAAGAACCUUACCAGGGUCUUGACAUGCAGGCGGAUGGUUAAGAGAUUAGCCAGUCCUUCGGGACGCCUGUGCAGGUGGUGCAUGGUUGUCGUCAGCUCGUGUCGUGAGAUGUUGGGUUAAGUCCCGCAACGAGCGCAACCCCUGUAGUUAGUUGCCAGCAAGAAAGAUGGGCACUCUAGCGAGACUGCCGGUGACAAAUCGGGAGGAAGGUGGGGACGACGUCAAAUCAUCAUGGCCCCUUAUGUCCUGGGCUACACACGUACUACAAUGGGCUAUAGCAGCAGGAAGCGAAGGAGCAAUCGGAGCAAAUCCUGAAAGAUAGUCUCGGUUCAGAUUGUGGGCUGCGGCCCGCCCCAUGUGAGUCGGGAUUGGUAGGUA
This 385-nucleotide ribosomal RNA is filed under the name uncultured bacterium. Its description in RNAcentral is "bacterial SSU rRNA". It matches the Rfam family "Bacterial small subunit ribosomal RNA", at positions 957 to 1341 of the family's 1533-position model. The record is from RNAcentral.